GACGAACGCUGGCGGCGUGCUUAACACAUGCAAGUCGAACGGAAAGGCCCUGCUUUUGUGGGGUGCUCGAUUGGCGAAGGGGGGAGUAACACGUGAGUAACCUGCCCUUGACUUUGGGAUAACUUCAGGAAACUGGGGCUAAUACCGGAUAGGAUCUCUUGCUGCAUGGGGGGGGUUGGAAAGUUUCGGCGGUUGGGGAUGGACUCGCGGCUUAUCAGCUUGUUGGUGGGGUAGUGGCUUACCAAGGCUUUGACGGGUAGCCGGCCUGGGAGGGUGACCGGCCACAUUGGGACUGAGAUACGGCCCAGACUCCUACGGGAGGCAGAAGUGGGGAAUAUUGCACAAUGGGCGGAAGCCUGAUGCAGCAACGCCGCGUGCGGGAUGACGGCCUUCGGGUUGUAAACCGCUUUCGCCUGUGACGAAGCGUGAGUGACGGUAAUGGGUAAAGAAGCACCGGCUAACUACGUG
This 468-nucleotide ribosomal RNA is filed under the name uncultured bacterium. RNAcentral's name for it is "partial 16S ribosomal RNA". It matches the Rfam family "Bacterial small subunit ribosomal RNA", at positions 28 to 507 of the family's 1533-position model. The record is from RNAcentral.